Prunus dulcis (almond) is the source of this 1767-nucleotide RNA transcript. It is a transcript of the gene named cysteine synthase 2, with no coding region annotated. The transcript has 7 exons. NCBI's taxonomy places the organism in Eukaryota, Viridiplantae, Streptophyta, Magnoliopsida, Rosales, Rosaceae. The record is from RefSeq and is a predicted model, not a curated record.
CUCAUAUACAUUAUACCACACUUCGUCUCUCUCUUCCUUCCUAAUCCUGUGCUCUCGUCAACUGGCGGGUGCUUGAUCAGUGAAUAAAUAAAUAAACUAAUAAAGAUUUGGUCCUGUGCCGAGGUUCGAACCGCCACAAUGGCGCCUGUGAGAACCACAGGCGCUGUUGUCGCUGCAAUCUCAGUGACCAUAGCGUUGCUCUCUCUCUUCCUCUACAAGUCCAAGCCCUCCUCUAAAAUGCUACCCUCAAAGAAAAAUCCCAGAAAUGGCCUCCUUGGUGCCAUUGGAAACACCCCUCUCAUUCGCAUCAACAGCCUCUCCGAGGCGACCGGUUGUGAAAUACUUGGCAAGUGCGAAUUUUUGAACCCCGGAGGGAGUGUGAAAGACAGAGUUGCUGUGAAAAUCAUUGAAGAGGCUUUGGAAUCUGGAGACCUUGCUCCAGGUGGAGUAGUCACUGAGGGGAGUGUUGGAAGCACAGCUAUUAGCCUUGCUACUGUUGCUCCAGCUUAUGGUUGCAAAUGCCACGUGGUUAUACCUGAUGACGUUGCUAUUGAGAAGUCUCAAAUACUUGAAGCCCUGGGAGCCACUGUAGAAAGGGUAAGGCCAGUGUCAAUCACACACAGAGACCACUUCGUCAAUGUUGCUAAACGACGGGCAUCAGAAGCAAAUGAGUUUGCAUUAAAGCAUAGAAAAGAUGAUGCGAAUCAGAGGGGUGUUGCCAAUGGCACCACCGAGAAGACUAAUGGUUUCCAAUAUGAUGAAGAGAAACAAAGUUUGUUUUCAAGGAACUGUACAGGUGGUUACUUUGCUGAUCAGUUUGAAAAUCUGGCAAACUUCCGGGCCCACUAUGAGGCUACUGGGCCUGAGAUUUGGGAACAGACUGGAGGAAAUGUAGAUGCAUUUGUGGCGGGAGCAGGAACAGGUGGUACUCUGGCAGGUGUUUCUAAGUUUCUCCAGGAAAGGAAUUCAAACAUUAAAUGCUUCCUAAUAGAUCCUCCUGGUUCUGGUUUAUUCAAUAAAGUUACGAGGGGAGUGAUGUACACCAGAGAGGAGGCUGAAGGACAAAGGCUAAAGAAUCCAUUUGACACGAUAACUGAGGGAAUUGGAAUCAAUAGAAUAACAAAGAAUUUUAUGAUGGCAAAACUUGAUGGGGCUUUCCGAGGCACAGAUAAGGAAGCUGUUGAAAUGUCCAGGUUUCUUAUGAAGAAUGACGGGCUGUUUUUGGGGAGUUCUUCAGCCAUGAAUUGUGUUGGAGCAGUACGAGCGGCACAGUCAAUUGGUCCUGGUCACACAAUUGUGACUAUUUUGUGCGAUAGUGGGAUGAGACAUCUGAGCAAAUUUUUCAGUGCUGAUUAUCUAUCUCAAUAUGGUUUGACACCUUCGGCUAGCGGAUUAGAGUUCCUGGGUGUUGGAUGAAAUAUGUACCCGCCAAGGGAUUCUCCAUUUUCCUCUACAUUCAUCCAAAUAGAACCAGUGGCUAAGUUAAUUUUUAGGGUUGGUUGCAUAGAUACAAGCCUUUAUCCAUCUGAAGUUCUGAAAUUUUGAAGAUAGUAGUUUCUGAAGCAGCAACAUUACAGCAGAAGUAUCCUCAAUAGAUUUCUAUUACAGCAUUGUGCUCUUUACGAAAUCUAUGGCUCUAGGCCAUAAUCACUUUUAUGGAGAAUAAUCGUUCUCACCAUUUGAAAUUAGUCUUAUUCUCAUUCUGAUAGACAUUAAAUUUUAUGCUGGGAAAUAGAACUGUGUAUAUAGAGGAUUCUUAAAUUUUAA